GGGGCCGAUCGGUAUCGACCGGGCAGGGAAGGUGCAGGGUGGCGCGUCGAGGAGUGUGCACCUCGGAAAAAGUACACAACACUUUAUAGCUGCCAAUAACAGCUACUCCCUCGCUGCUUAAUAGCGGUGAGCGGCCGGUUCACAAUGUCUGAUAGUGAGCUGGCUGUAAGCAUCAGGCUGUCUCGCGCUGGGCGCAUCCAGCAGCGUGAGCGAGGAACUUCACUGGACGCUGGGCCGAAGAGCACGCUGUCGUGAGCGGGCACAAGGCCGAGAUCAAAGUCGCGACUACACGCGUAGAGGCUGUGUGCUGACUGCUUCGGGACGGGAGUUCGAUUCUCCCCGGCUCCAUUU
Molecule: transfer-messenger RNA, 351 nt
Filed under: Phycisphaerales
Lineage: Bacteria; Pseudomonadati; Planctomycetota; Phycisphaerae
Also listed under: 2 other names
Description: JACKHF01 sp020639155 Standard tmRNA
Rfam family: transfer-messenger RNA
About the family: Bacterial tmRNA, also known as 10Sa RNA or SsrA, is named for its dual tRNA and mRNA-like properties. Its role is to liberate the mRNA from a stalled ribosome. To accomplish this part of the tmRNA is used as a reading frame that ends in a translation stop signal.
Source: RNAcentral